CACAGUAUCAAUAGUAGAGACCUUCAAAUUUCUAGGUUCUACUACCGUGUUUCUCCAACAAUACGCCCCCCCCAAUAGGAAGACCCAGCUUGUUUUCUAGGCAUAAAAUGAAAUUAAGCUCCUCUCCCCAAAUAUAGGCCUAUUUGAAAACAUGUAAAAUGGGGCGAAGGACUUGCCAUUAGGAGCGCCCCGCGGGCAGCCAUGCCUCGCCACCAGCAGCUCCUAACGGGCAAUCAUGGUGAAGUGCAGAGAGCUCCCUACUCCUGCCAAGCACCUUUG
Notechis scutatus (mainland tiger snake) is the source of this 279-nucleotide non-coding RNA. Lineage: Eukaryota; Metazoa; Chordata; Lepidosauria; Squamata; Elapidae. The record is from RefSeq and is a predicted model, not a curated record.